CCAAAGGCUCUGCUCAGAGCCACCGCAAGUGGCCCGAAAGACCAGU
Callithrix jacchus (white-tufted-ear marmoset) is the source of this 46-nucleotide non-coding RNA. The record is from Rfam. Lineage: Eukaryota; Metazoa; Chordata; Mammalia; Primates; Cebidae.